This 429-nucleotide ribosomal RNA is filed under the name uncultured bacterium. Its description in RNAcentral is "bacterial SSU rRNA". It matches the Rfam family "Bacterial small subunit ribosomal RNA", at positions 355 to 776 of the family's 1533-position model. The record is from RNAcentral.
UGGGGAAUUUUGGACAAUGGGGGCAACCCUGAUCCAGCAAUGCCGCGUGAGUGAAGAAGGCCUUCGGGUUGUAAAGCUCUUUUGUUCGGAAAGAAAUCGCUCUGGCUAAUAUCUGGAGUGGAUGACGGUACCGGAAGAAUAAGCACCGGCUAACUACGUGCCAGCAGCCGCGGUAAUACGUAGGGUGCAAGCGUUAAUCGGAAUUACUGGGCGUAAAGCGUGCGCAGGCGGUUGUGCAAGACAGAUGUGAAAUCCCCGGGCUUAACCUGGGAACUGCAUUUGUGACUGCACGGCUAGAGUGUGUCAGAGGGGGGUAGAAUUCCACGUGUAGCAGUGAAAUGCGUAGAUAUGUGGAGGAAUACCGAUGGCGAAGGCAGCCCCCUGGGAUAACACUGACGCUCAUGCACGAAAGCGUGGGGAGCAAACAGG